This 331-nucleotide ribosomal RNA is filed under the name uncultured eukaryote. RNAcentral describes it as "partial 18S ribosomal RNA". It matches the Rfam family "Eukaryotic small subunit ribosomal RNA", at positions 1470 to 1796 of the family's 1831-position model. The record is from RNAcentral.
CCCUUAGAUGUUCUGGGCCGCACGCGCGCUACACUGAUGAAUUCAACGAGUUUAUAACCUUGGCCGGAAGGUCUGGGUAAUCUUUUAAACGUUCAUCGUGAUGGGGAUAGAUUAUUGCAAUUAUUAAUCUUCAACGAGGAAUUCCUAGUAAACGCAAGUCAUCAGCUUGCAUUGAUUACGUCCCUGCCCUUUGUACACACCGCCCGUCGCACCUACCGAUUGAAUGGUCCGGUGAAUUCUUCGGAUUGUGAUAAUGAAUUGUUUUCGGAUAAGACGUUAUUAUAAAAAGUUGAUUAAACCUUACCAUUUAGAGGAAGGUGAAGUCGUAACA